AAUAAACCUUAGAUUUGGUUUAUAUCUGAGUGUUAAUAGUUAGACAGCCGAACAAUCAGAGACUUAACAACACCUGCGUAACUCCAUAUGCGGUCAAACAACUACUCCUUUUGUAAUCGAAGCGUCUUUUUUAUCGCUUGGUGAAUUUAAAUUAAAUUUUCUGUGAGUCCUUAACUAUUUAUCGCCCUAAUUUUAAAGAAAUUACCACGCAAUUGAGAACAUUCUAAACAAAAAUGGUUUGUAAAAUUAAAUAAAAAUGGCAGAGAGAGCAAACUUAUUUACGCUUUAAAACUAGGCAAAGACAAAGUUAGCGCAAACCAUUCCAGAAAUGAAUUGGCUACCUUAUCUUGCGGUGUUCGUCCUUUUUGGUAUUGUACUAUCUCAAGAAUACGAAGAAUUACCUACGGAAGAGAACAAGAUGGAACAGAUCUCAAGAGAUUAUAGAGUUCAAAGACCACAGCGAUUAGAAAAGCGAACAAAUGGAAUAUGCUGGUAUAGACGAUGCAAAUCAGGAAAAAGGUCUUUUACAAAAAAACCCUUUUAUGAUCUAUACUGACAUCAGGAUAGUUUAACCGUGAGAUCAUCGAUGUUAAAAGAGACAAGACAUUACAGGCCAAGAACAAUGGAAGUGAAACAAUGAACUCUAGUCGUUAUUCCAGUCAAACACGCUGCGAAAAAACUAAGAAAUUUUUUUUCUUGUUAAAUGUGAAUAUCAUUUAGAUCGCUGAAAACAUUUAGAAACUUUAAAAAAUAAACAAAUAUAUGAAAA
This is a long non-coding RNA of Actinia tenebrosa (Australian red waratah sea anemone), 769 nucleotides long. RefSeq lists it as uncharacterized. NCBI's taxonomy places the organism in Eukaryota, Metazoa, Cnidaria, Anthozoa, Actiniaria, Actiniidae. The record is from RefSeq and is a predicted model, not a curated record.